AUGAACGCUGGCGGCGUGCUUAAUACAUGCAAGUCGAACGGAAACAGUAGCAAUAUUGUUUUAGUGGCGGACGGGUGAGGAAUGCAUCGGAAUCUGCCCUGUUGUGGGGGAUAACCAACCGAAAGGUUGGCUAAUACCGCAUGAGACGGCGACGUGAAAGCGGGGGAUCUUUGGACCUCGCGCGACAGGAUGAGCCGAUGCCGGAUUAGCUAGUUGGUGGGGUAAAGGCCCACCAAGGCGACGAUCCGUAGCUGGUCUGAGAGGAUGAUCAGCCACACUGGAACUGAGACACGGUCCAGACUCCUACGGGAGGCAGCAGUGGGGAAUAUUGGACAAUGGGCGCAAGCCUGAUCCAGCAAUGCCGCGUGUGUGAAGAAGGCCUUCGGGUUGUAAAGCACUUUUGUCCGGAACGAAAAGCGAUGGGUUAAUACCCUGUCGUGCUGACGGUACCGGGUGAAUAAGCACCGGCUAACUUCGU
This 478-nucleotide ribosomal RNA is filed under the name uncultured bacterium. Its description in RNAcentral is "bacterial SSU rRNA". It matches the Rfam family "Bacterial small subunit ribosomal RNA", at positions 29 to 506 of the family's 1533-position model. The record is from RNAcentral.